UGCGGAGGGAUCAUUG
Molecule: ribosomal RNA, 16 nt
Filed under: Diaporthe ambigua
Lineage: Eukaryota; Fungi; Ascomycota; Sordariomycetes; Diaporthales; Diaporthaceae
Also listed under: 5 other names
Description: partial 18S ribosomal RNA
Source: RNAcentral